Long non-coding RNA from Bombus terrestris (buff-tailed bumblebee), 2266 nucleotides. RefSeq lists it as uncharacterized. The record is from RefSeq and is a predicted model, not a curated record. The transcript has 4 exons. NCBI's taxonomy places the organism in Eukaryota, Metazoa, Arthropoda, Insecta, Hymenoptera, Apidae.
CGUCCCUUCCCUCUCUACGAGUUCCACGCGUUUCUCCUCUUGUCCCUACGACCCUUCCCGCCCCACUACUUUGUCGUGUGGCGCGCCCCUUGCGUCACCUCGCGAACUUCAACCAAGCUACCUAUCCCCACCAAACGUCUGGCCAAGCAGUGAAAGAGAGUCAACGCGAGGAAGAGAAGCACGCACACGCCACGUAUAAGAGAGAGAUGGAUGGAACGAGAAUGCAGCGCAUGCGCAGUACAUCAGUCGCGGCACGCGGUCGCGCCCAAACGCAUCUUCUCGCGAUUCUCAUAUUGAUGUACUACGCGCUUGCACUCACGGCGAACCGAUUGGGUGCCUCGCGAAUACCGAACAUCUCGUACGUGAAGGAUGAACGAAGCAGCAUCUCGUUAAGAAAUCGCUGCCAGAUAUACAACCGCUAAGCACCUUCGGUUGAGUUACUUUGAAAGCGUUCAAGAAUUCGAUCAGCGACAGAUCACCGACACGCGUGACAAGGAGUUGAAUAUCCUGUUCUGUUACCAUCUACGCGCGACGGAGAAACGUCGGCGCGCAACCGAGAGACUCGGCGAACUCAAGCCAUCCUCGCCUCUUUUCUUCACCCUUCUACGCCACUAGCUGGAUGUGAGUUACCGCGCUACGGAAUGGACUCGUCGAAUUAUUUUCCUUGAAUGCCGCCGCGGUAUCGGUUUCGCGAUCGCGGUACUGCCAGAGGGAUGAUAUUAAAAUUGAAAUGGGCUCGAACGAUGCCUCGAUUCUUUGGAAAGGGGCUUUAAAUAAAGGACUUUGCUGCCAACUUUCUUCCGCGUGGAUACGCCGCGCGCGGCUUUCUUUGCCUUUCAACGCACGACACUGACCAUCCCUGUGUCUCUUGAAAAAUUCAACGAAUCCAGCGGAACGAUCCUGGCUCACGGUUAAUUGGCCUCCGACACUCCAUUUCGCAAAUUGCAAAAAGCAAUGCCAGGAUACUGUUGUACGUAGGUGCUGGCGUCGAGUGGCUGCAGUUGUUACUGGAAAAUCGCUGGGACGGACGAAAGGAAUUCGAACGAUGGACGCGCUUACGCGUGUGACCAAGUGCAUCGUGCAGGGAAUCAGAAAUUAAGUCUGCUGGCAUGGCUGAUGUUGAACAAUUGUUAGUUUCGCCCCGUUCGUAUUAGCUGAGAUCACUUUGACAAGAUGGUCGUUUGCGAGUCAAAUUAUUGAUUAAAUCGAAUUUAAAUUAUCGAAUGAAGAAAAAGGACAUUAUUAUGGAAAAUAAAUAGAGAAUUCCAAGAAUAUCUGAGUCCAUAUCGCGAGGAUGUUCUGUCACAGAAGAUGGUAUAACGAUGACUGCAUAAAUAUUUCAAGCAUCAAAUUGUUAUAUCUGAACAAGUACGAUGUGAUUAUCUCUUAAUAUUACGAGAUGAACUUGUCUAAAGCCUGAUAUUCGACGUUCUUUACAAGCAACGUGGCAAGUCGACGCUAUAUUAGCCCUCAUCGAGAUCCUCUUUCGCAGACGAGAUCAUCAGACGCACCGGUUCACGGUCGUCGCGUACAAACAAUGAUUAUUAAGUUUGAGAUACGGGACUAGAUUGGCUGGGUAAAUUAGGCACAUUAGCCUGUAUGCACAAGGCCGAGAUAGUAACGCUCGUUGUUCCGAGACAGCAUCUUCGUUGCAAGGGAACGAAGAACGGUUGGAACGCGAGUCGCGCGAGAGGAAAAAGGCCAGGAACAAGAAAACUCCAUUACCCCGCUCCUUGCCAAGCAUUCUUGCCGGUGAAAGAUCUUGCUUCAACGAUCGCUAAUUUCUCGUAACAGAAUCCUUUCGACGCCCUUUUAACAUCCACGUCAGGAAAGAUCCUCGGGUUUCCUCGCGUACGCUGCUUUGUGUGAAGGAUAUGAUUGCCGAGAUACGAUCGCUUGAAAUGUUUCUUCGGCGACAUGACAAAAUGAGAAUUAGGUGUGAGAAAAAUUGUUGGUUCCGAUCGAAUCGAUCGACGGAUGUUUUUUUCGCCGAGAAUUUUUUAUACUUUGGUUACCUAACGUUAUCAUCAAAUUUAAUAGAGUUAUGAAACAUGUGUUUAAGAAAGUUUUUGAUUGGUUUUAGAAUAUUUUUUUUUUAAAUAUCUGGAAAAAUAUAUAGUUUGAUAUUGGAGUAUUUUAGAUUCUUUUUACUUCAAUUUCGAUUAACGCAUCAAUUAACGUUAUUAAAUGAUUAUUCUACCUCUGGAGUCGUGAAGCCGUUUCAUCAGAAAUGUUUUUAAUACGCACGACCAUUAUUAUUAUUAUU